This 14824-nucleotide long non-coding RNA is filed under the name Ananas comosus (pineapple). RNAcentral describes it as "long non-coding RNA (ACOM_LNC001031)". Lineage: Eukaryota; Viridiplantae; Streptophyta; Magnoliopsida; Poales; Bromeliaceae. The record is from RNAcentral.
UCCCGAACGCGUAGACGAAGACAGUUCGUCGAUCCGUCGAGCGAGUGCGGAGAUAUAGCCGAUUUGGGUGCUCUAGGGUUCGUUUUGACCCAAGGUGUUGAAGCGGCGCACGUGGACCGCGACGCCGAGUUUCUUAGCUUUACGGUACUACCACGAGGUGGGUGGUGACCAUCCCGACGCAAUCGGGCUACCUUCUAUGUCUAAGUUUUAAAAGUUGAUCUAAUUGCAUAUUGUACAUAUUCAUAUAGGGCUAGAGAUGGACUGUUGCUUAUAAUUGCAUGUUAGUAGCUUAAUGUAUCUUGCUUAGUUGGUUCAUGAUCUAGUAUGCAUGAUGAUUAUAUGAUGAAAACUCUAUGAUAAAAACCUAGACCCUAUGUGAGAUGAUUAAUACUUAUGUUGCUAAAGAACUAGUAUGAUGUAACUAGUGUUAAUGAUGAGUCUAAAUGACGAGUGGCAUCUAGUUAGAAAACUAUGAUGAGUGGCAUAUGAUUGUUGAUGACCUUGAUAUGAGAACAUUAGUGUAGUUGAGACACUAUGAGAUUGGGUACAAGUAUACCUUGAUUCCAUCAUGAGAUUACCCUUAGAGGGUAGGUUGCUGCUGUUCGUGAGUUGAUCGUGCUCACAUAGCCUGUCUGCGCUUGGAGGGGUCGCUCCCCACAAGCUGUGCACUCCGGAGGUUGGUCACUAGAGAGACAGUCAGUGUGCUGUCUGGACGGUCAGUGUGCUGUCCGCAGGCGGUCUCGGGGAGUAGUUCAGUGAGACUUUCCCUAUGAGAUUUACACGUGAGUGAUGCUUGUGAACCACGAGUUUACCUCGAGAUUUGGUUACCUAUUGAGUCAUGCUCAUUAUUAUUGCUCAUGAUAGCUAGCUUUCAUAGUUGUUGUUGUUCAUAGUUGCUUACUUACCCAGUUUUACUUAUUGUUCAUGCAUCCAUGAUAUCAGAUUGAGGCAUAGCUUGAUAGACCUGUUUUACAUACCCGCUUUCAGUUCAGUUUAGCUUUAUAUAUACUGCAUAUAUAUAUCUCUCUAUGCCUGCUUAAGACCUAAUGGGUAGAUCGGCAGAGUCGGCGGCCGAACCCACUGGGAACUAUUCGUAGUUCUCACACCCCACGUUGCAGGUGCUAGUUCGAGCGUCCCGACCGAGCGGGAGGAUCGCGGCAAGGGCUUUGGGCCCUAACGGUAUCAGUUGAUAGCUUACUCUCCUACUUGCACUAGUUCGCCCUGCUUUUACAUUUUGAGAGUAGAUGUUGUAUAGGGUGAGGUUUUGGAGAGCAUAUGAUGUAUUUACAUUUUAGAAAAAAAUGCAAGUUGUAUUAAAUGAUUAAAGUUUUAAUGAUAUCGAAAGAGGUUAAAUGUCUCAAAUAGUUAAGUUUCUCUCUUUUGAAUACUUGUAUACCGUUUACUUGUAUCGCUUGCUCUUGUUGAUAAAUAGCACUGUUUGUACUCUCGAUUAUCGUUGUUUGAUUGUGUAUGAAUUCAAGUUGUAUUCCUGGGGACUUGUUGUACACAAUCCGGUUGGUUAGCCUUGGGCGGACAGGAGAGACUCUGUCCGUUCGGCAUCACGCACGCCGCCCUCGAAAUGGACCAAAUUGGUACCAUUUUCGGGCCGUGCGGUUGGGGCGUGAGAGUUGUGGUAUCAGAGCAAGUUAAGAGCAAGCAAAAGAGAGAGUCUAGGAUGACCUAGGAGACUCUAGGUUGGUUAACCCUAAGGUUAUAGGUGCGUGAGUGCGACGUGAACCUAUGACGCGGCGGAAGCUAAAUGAUUGUGUUUGGAGUUGGUGUUGUUACUCUAGUUAUGGCUAGAGAUGAUUCAAGUGGUAUUAAUUUUUGGCUUGAGGUGAUUGUGUUGGCGGCCGACAACACGAUGCCGAAAGUCAAGAACUAAGACAUUUGCAAGCUACCGCCUGAUUGAUGUCGUUUAAUCGUUAUGUUUCGCAAUCACGACGAUGUUGUUGGGUUAAGUAAUUAACCAACUGUUUGCGUUUCAGAAGCUAUGGCACCAAAGAGACGCUACGUGCGUAGGACCGCUCCGGUACCACCUCGAGAGGUGCCCGGGCCAGCCGUACCUCCAGUGGCGCCAGGGCCAGCUGGGCCUACUAAGGUGCAGGAGUUGCGAGCGCAGGUUGCGGCGCUCACAGGACGGUUCGAUAGGCUCCAGGAGCUAUUGGAGCAGCAGGCUGUGGCGGCGGCUGCGGCGGCAGGUCUAGGCCGCGGUCCGCCUGCACUUUCGGCUCGUGCCCCUGAUGCCGCCGAGGGUGCGGGUGGCGUUUCGGUUCCGGUGGCGGCGCAACCCCCACCGGUGGAUAUUCCUCUGGCUAGUUCGAGUUCUCCCACCCCCGCAAUGGCGGCUGAGGAGGCGGAGCGUGAGCGCGGCUACGUGGCGCUCACGAGGUUCACGAAGUUUCGCCCGCCUACCUUCGACGGAGAGGUGGUGGAUCCAGCGACGGUGGAGUCUUGGCUGACAGCUAUGGAGACUCUAUUUGAGGACAUCUUCACCUUGGAGAAGGACAUGGUGAACUUGACCGCGCAUUGCUUCGAGAAGCGGGCCAGGACUUGGUGGAGGAGGGUCAAGCAGGACCGAUCCCCGGAGCUUCCCCCGAUCGAUUGGGCGGAGUUCCGCAAGCUAAUGUUCGCCGAGUACUUCCCCGACAGUGAUAAGAGAAAGAUGCGGGAAGAUUUUCGCAAGCUCAAGCAAGGCAACCGCACGGUUCGGGAGUACGAGCGGGAGUUCACCCAUCUCCUGAGUUGUGUCCCGGACGUGGCGACGACAGAGCAGGACCGGGCGGAUUGUUUUGUUCGAGGACUCCGGCCCGGAGUAUUCAAGUUGGUGCAUGCCUUCAAGUUCCACACUUUGGCGGGGGCAUUAGACCGCGCAUUAUGGGUCGAGCACGGGAACGCUUGCGAGCGUGAGGACCGUGAGGCGUUCGACAAGGAUAAAGGCAAGAAGAGGCAGGGCGGUGGCUCGGGGGGACAGUCUAGCUCCAAGAGGCCCCCGAAGUAUCCACGCUCUCAGCCUAAGGGUCGUGGUGCAGUGCGAUGCGUCUUUUGCGGCGGGGACCACCGACCGGGUGUAUGUGAGCAUCGCCGUGGGAGGUGCUUCAAGUGCGGGCAAGCGGGGCAUGUCAUCCGCGACUGUCCUCAGGGAGGAGCUUUGCCCGCUAUGUCGACUGCAUCGGCCCCGGCGGUUCCAGCUCGCUAUGCUCUGCCCCCUCCUGCAGUAUCUACUGGGCGAGCGGCGGCGCCACGCCAACCAGAGCCUGCACGAUCUGCGCCGAGCGGGAGGAUGUAUGCUGCACCCGUGCACAUUGAGGAGCCUUCUGAGGCCGGCGAGCGCAACGUUGUGGCAGGUAUAAUUUUGGUUAAAGGUGUUCGAGCUAGAGCUUUGUUUGAUACCGGCGCAUCACACUCAUUUAUUAGUCGAUCAUUCGCACAAGCACAUGAUAUCGAGUAUCGUCUAGGGGAGCACGUUUGGCAUGUUGAGGGCCCCGGGCGAUCAUUUAUGGUUAGGAAACGAUGUUUGGCAUGUCCAGUGCAAGUGAAUGACUGGGUUAUGCCGGUCGACUUGUUGGUGCUCAAAAGGUUGAAGGAAUUUGACAUCAUAUUGGGCAUGGAUUGGCUCUCGAAGUACUAUGUGUCGAUCGACUGCCCGACUCGAGUUGUCACAUUUCGGGAGCCGGGUCAAGAAGAGUUCACCUAUCGAGCUUGCAAGAGCUCGUGCUUCGCCGCGACGGUAUCGGCGACUAGAGCAAGGAAGUUGGUGAACAGCGGUUGCACAGCCUAUUUGGCGACCGUUGUGGAGAUUGAUCGAGUGGUUCCGACCCUCGAGGAGUUGGCGGUUGUGCGAGAGUUCCCUGAUGUGUUUCCCGCGGAGCUACCGGGUAUGCCUCCAGACCGGGAGAUCGAGUUCAUGAUUGACUUGGUUCCCGGGACGGCACCGAUUUCUAAGGCCCCGUAUCGCAUGGCGCCGGCCGAGCUAAGGGAGUUGAGAGAUCAAUUACAGGAUCUUCUCGACAAGGAAUUCAUUAGGCCGAGCGUUUCGCCGUGGGGUGCCCCGGUAUUAUUUGUGCGCAAGAAAGAUGGAUCUUUUCGACUCUGCGUGGAUUACCGCGAGUUGAACAAGGUCACGGUGAAGAACAAGUACCCGCUACCCCGUAUUGAUGACUUGUUUGAUCAGUUGCAAGGGUCGCGAGUGUAUUCUAAGAUCGACCUUCAGUCCGGCUAUCACCAGUUAAAGAUCAAGCCGGAAGAUGUUCAAAAGACGGCGUUUCGCACGCGUUAUGGACACUACAAAUUCACGGUGAUGCCGUUUGGGCUCACGAAUGCCCCGGCAGCGUUCAUGAGCUUGAUGAACCGAGUGUUCCAGGAAUGCUUGGACCGAUUUGUCGUGGUCUUCAUAAACGACAUUUUGAUGUAUUCGCGUAGCGACGAGAAGCACGCGGAGCAUUUGCGCACAGUACUUCGAAUCCUUCGGGAGAAGAAGUUGUACGCAAAGCUGAAGAAAUGCGACUUUUGGCUUCGAGAGGUCGCGUUUCUCGGGCAUUUUAUUUCCAAGGGUGGUGUUUUAGUUGACCCGAGGAAAGUGGAGGCUAUUGAGAAUUGGCCGCGCCCGACGAAUGUUACCGAGGUCCGUAGUUUUGUGGGCCUAGCCGGUUAUUAUCGACGGUUUGUGGAGGGGUUCUCAAAGAUUGUGACUCCACUUACCCGCUUGACACAAAAGGGCACCAAGUUUGUUUGGAGCGACGAGUGUGACCGGAGUUUUAAAGAGUUGAAGCAAAGGUUAACUUCUCCGGUACUCGCCUUACCGGUGCAGGGGCAGGACUACGUCGUCUACAGUGAUGCUUCUUAUCUGGGCUUGGGGUGUGUGCUGAUGCAGGGCGGGAAGGUUAUCGCUUAUGCAUCCCGUCAGCUGAAGAGUUAUGAAAAGAACUACCCCAUUCAUGAUCUAGAGUUGGCGGCGGUGAUUUUUGCCUUAAAGCUUUGGAGACAUUAUUUAUAUGGUGCUCAUUGCGAGAUCUACACCGACCAUAAGAGCUUGAAGUAUCUGUUCAUACAGAAAGAGCUCAAUAUGCGUCAGCGGUGGUGGUUGGAGCUAUUGAAGAAUUAUGAUGUUGAUAUCCUUUACCACCCCGGGAAGGCAAAUGUGGUCGCGGAUGCGCUGAGUAGGAAGACGGCGAAGAACCUCGCUUUUGAUGUUACCCAGCAAACAUCCCUAUGGCUGGAUAUGGAGCGAUUGGACCUUGAAGUGGUCGCUCCUGAGGUCCCGACUCAGUUGAUGGCACUCGUUGUCCAACCGACCUUGUUGGAAAGGAUCAAGGAUCUGCAACCUGCGGACCCAGAACUCCAAAAGGUACGGCGAAAUAUCGAGGAAGGUCAUGGCGGCGAGUUCAAUGUAGACGCCAAUGGUACGCUUCGGUUUCGGAACCGAAGGUGUGUACCUGCUGAUGAGGAGCUUCGCAAGCUUAUACUCUAGGAGUCGCAUUGGUCCCUGUAUGCUAAUCACCCGGGCGGCACCAAGAUGUAUCAAGGACUAAAAAUGCUCUACUGGUGGCCAGGAAUGAAGGGCGACAUCGGACGCUGUGUGGCGAAGUGCCUAACAUGCCAACAAGUGAAGGCUGAACAUCGAUUUCCAGCGGGAAAGCUUCACAGCCUACCAAUCCCGUUUGAAAAUGGGAAGAUAUAUCGAUGGACUUCGUGGUCGGCUUAUCUCGCUCAAAGGGCGGCCACGAUGCAAUUUGGGUAAUUGUGGACCGAUUGACGAAGUCGGCUCACUUCUUGCCGAUCCAUACCACGUGGUCGGGUGACAAGUUAGCGCAGGUAUACCUUGACGAGAUAGUGAGACUGCAUGGGGUGCCGAAAUCGAUCGCGUCGGAUCAUGACCCCCGGUUCACUUCACAUUUCUGGAAGAGCCUGCAGGAAGCCCUUGGCACACGGCUCGACUUUAGCACCGCGUUUCAUCCUCAGACCGAUGAACAAACAGAGAGAACUAUUCAAACUCUGGAGGACAUGUUGCGAGUGUGUGUCAUCGACUAUAAAGGAAGUUGGUGUGACCACCUACCGAUGGCCGAAUUCGCCUACAAUAAUAGUUAUAAUGCUAGUGUGGAGAUGGCACCGUUUGAGGCCCUCUAUGGGCGAACGUGUCGAUCUCCUAUACACUGGAGCGAUGUAGAUGAGCGUGCGGAGUUCGGCCCAGAUGUGUUGCGAGAAGCGGAAGAAAAAGUCCGCCUUGCUAGCAAAAGAUUGCUCACGGCGCAGUCGAGACAGCAAAGCUAUGCGGAUAAACGCCGGCGAGAUAUAGAGUACGCGAUGGGUGACCGCGUAUUUCUGAAGUUUUCACCGAUGCGAGGUGUGAAGCGGUUUGGGGUGCGAGGAAAGCUAAGCCCUCGUUAUAUUGGCCCCUGCGAGAUCUUGGAGCGAAUUGGGACGGUGGCGUACCGACUUGCAUUGCCCCCGAAGCUUGUGGGUGUGCACAAUGUUUUCCACGUCUCCAACCUCCGCAAGUAUAUUCACGACCCCGAACAUGCGAUGCUAUAUGAGCCGCCGGAACUUCAAGAUGAUAUGAGCUAUGAAGAGUUUCCGGUAGAGAUUUUGGCUCGAGAGGUGCGUAAGCUAAGGAAUCGAAAAAUUCCCUAUGUUAAAGUCCGGUGGAGCAAUCAUGACGAUCGUGAAGCCACUUGGGAGCUCGAGGACCAGAUGAAAGCGAAUCAUCCUCACUUGUUUAAGAAUUGAGGUAAGAGUUUAAGUUCGAUUUACGAGUUAGUUGUUUCGAGGACGAAACUCCUUUUAAGGGGUGGAGAAUGUGAGAUAUCAAGAUUCGACGAUAUUGGCUAACUUUGGCCAAAUCGGCCAAAGUGGGCGAUUGAGCGGUUUGGACAAGUUCCAUUCGGCAUUCCAACAAGUUUGGAAGAGCAAAAAUGAGUUCUAAAAGUGUUGGAAUGAUUUUGACAGCGAUCGGCGCGUAGUGGAGCCGAAACAGAGUGAAAACAGCAUUCUGGAGCUGCUGUACUGGUACAAGGGUGAUGGCUGUACCGGUACAGCCAUCGCAGCUCUCGGGUUUUGGAGGGCUCCAGGUGCUGUACCGGUACAAGGGGCUUGUACCGGUACAAACCCGAUGAAACCAAGACCUGAGCUCUCGGGUUUGCUCUCGGUUUUGGCUGUCUGCCAGGCCUUGUACCGGUACAAGAACCCGUGUACCGGUACAAGGAGCCCGAAACAGCAGGGUGACUUUGGAAAAUAGAAAAGUUAAGGCUCUUUUGAUAUUUUACAAUAUAGGUCUUAUACACAUCUCUCAGCCACUCCAUCUCACACUUAGCCUCUGCUCUCUCCCUCCUCUCAUAGCAUUGUCUCUUUCUCUUCGUCCUACACCUGUGAAAAGAAGAAAAAAAGAAGAAGAAAGAAAUGAGAGAAAGAAGGAGAAAGGAAGAAGGAAAAGGAUGAGAAGAUCAAGAAAAGAAACAACCUCUCUCCCUCCACUUUUCAAGCUAGGUGUCACGGCCACAAAGAUUUUCUCCGCGAUUUCGCUUUGCACAUCACCCAAACUCCAAGCGGACAUCUGACGGAGGUUUUGGCUUGGAACUUUCUUGAAGCUCUACGCGAUCUCGAGACUGAAGUGCGGAUACGGAGGUCAAGAGUCCCUUAGAGUUCUAGGUAGUCAAUAAAUGUAUGACUCUUCGAGUCUCGAGCUAUUUAUUAAGACUCUUGGGAGACCGCGUGGCCACCCCUUUUGGCUAGUAGUAUUGUGCCACUUGCACCUUUUCAAUUGUAUUGUGGCGGCGAGUGGCCUAUAUAUAGUGUGCCCUCCACCCUCUCAUUUCAGAAUUCACUAUUAUAUUCUCAACCUUAAAGUAAUUAGAAGAGCUUUCUUCUUAUAUCUCUCUUGUACUUAGUCUAGGCGAGUGAGGUCCUAACUUAGCAAGUAGAGAGGCAGGCUUGCUCACUUCGCGGAGAGCGAGGCGGCGCACAUUUUGCGAGCAAAAUUCGUUAGUCGCGUGACAGUUGGUAUCAAGCCGUUCGAGAAGGAGCCAUGUCGUCAUUAAGCCGCUGCGCGACGUUGGGGUGAUGCCUCCAAGCAACCUCCAAGCGGGGCAAGGUAAGGACACGCGAUAUCACGAAGAUUCCGCGUCGGUCGAGGACCGCCUUGCACUGUUGGAAGACAUUCUAUCGAAGUGGAGGAAAGGUACACCGAGAUGGCCGAUACCUUUAACGCCUUCAAUGAUUGAUGUCGCAGUAUAGGAGGAGAGCGUCGCCACUUCCAUGGCGACCUUUCGAGGCGAGCUCGAGAAAUCCAGGACAAUAUCACCCGUCGUGAUGACGAGCGGAAGAACUUGAUCGAGGAAGCUCAGUCACUCGAGUCGACGAGGUCGAGGACCUCAAGACAGAGUGACUAUCCUUGAGAAGGGGGCGUGGCUUGAGGCGGUGAAACGCAGAAGAGUACACCCCAAAGGUCCCGCGUCCCUGAACCCCAAUGCUUCAAGGGUUCCGCGGCACGAGAAGAGAUAGACAACUCCUUUGGCACAUGGAGCGCUAUCUCAAGCGCUGCGUCGAGGACGAGGAGGACAGGUCCAGACCGCUUCCAUGUACACUCACCGACGACCGCGAUGUUGUGGUUGCGUCAGCGUUCUGUAGAGGCUGAAAAGGGCCAAUGCAAACUGGAUACUUGAGGAACUUCGUGCGCGAACUGAAGCACAGUUCUACCCUGAGCACGUCGAAUACUGGCCGAGGCAAGCUUCGACGCUCAAACAUACAGGAUCCUCUCAAAGUAUGUCAAGAGUACUCCAAACUGAUGCUUGGCCAUCACCAGCAUGGCCGAGGAGGAUCGGCUAUUCUUCUCCUCAUGAUCGGUCUCCAACCGUGGCUAACAAGGAGCUCGUGCGAGAGACGUCCAACGACAUGACUCCGCUAUCCGCAAAGCGGAGAAGCUGCUGGAGUAUGACAAGCGGACCUUUCCUCGUGGCAACCAUCCAAGCGGGCAAGCGAAAGGGUGGGGAGACCGCCGCGAGCAGCGAUCACAAGGGCCAAGAGCGAAGAGGCCCUCCGCAGAAGAAGAAGAUCUCUUGCUAUGUUCUGCGGGGUGAUCACCGGGCGAGAGAUUGCCAAAGAAGAAGACCGUCAACGCACCAUCACAAAUGAGGAAGCGAGGAACAAGCGGAGACCAAAGAUGGGCGCGCUACGACUCGUCAGCGCGAUCCAGGGGCAGGCGACCCAGCAAACCGCUCAAGAAGGAGCUCUUGUUCGUGACGUGAACCCCAACGGGAGGGCCACUCGAGCGCUCAUGGACACGAGAGCGACCCACAACUUCAUCACCGAGUCUGAGGCCAAACGGCUGGGCCUCACACUCGAGAAGGACACGAGCAAGAUCAAGGCUGUCAACUCGGUGGCACAGCCUGUCGUGGGAGUAGCCAAAGGGGUGACGAUCGCUGUAGGACCCUGGUCGGGUACAGCGAACUUCACCGCCGCGACCAUCGACGACUUCAAAGUCAUUCUCGGCAUCGACUUUCUCGCUUCAUCGAAAGCGGUCCCGAUGCCGCAUCUCGGGGCCUUGAGCAUCAUGGAGGAGGCAGCCCCGUGCAUGGUCUUGGCUACCCGCAGCGAGCCAGCGGCAACCCACACCCUCUCCGCUCUGCAACUGCGGAAGGGGGUAAAACGCGGAGAAACCACUUAUCUUGCUGCAAUCCGCGAGGUGAGCGAAGAAGACCUCGAGGAGGAGGACCAUCCAGCGGUGAUCGAUGCUGUCCUGGGGGAGUUCAAGGACGUAAUGCCCCAGGAGUUGCCCAAAAGACUUCCACCCAGGCGGGAGGUGGACCAUGCGAUCGAGCUCGAGCCAGGAGCAAAGCCACCAGCAAAGGCACCAUACCGCAUGGCCCCGCCAGAGCUCGAGGAGUUGCAGCGUCAACUGAAGGACCUCCUCGAUGCGGGCUUCAUCAGGCCGUCGAAGGCACCCUACGGAGCACCAGUCUUGUUCCAAAGGAAGAGCGACGGAAGCCUGCGGCUCUGUAUUGACUACAGAGCGCUCAACAAGGUGACGGUAAAGAACAAGUACCCUAUUCCCCUUGUUGCUGACUUGUUUGACCAGCUUGGCGGAGCGAAGUUCUUCACCAAAUUGGACCUUCGCUCGGGGUACUACCAAGUCAGGAUCGCGGAGGGCGAUGAGGAGAAAACGGCAUGUGUGACGAGGUAUGGAGCCUACGAGUUCCUCGUCAUGCCAUUCGGCCUGACGAAUGCGCCGGCGACCUUCUGCACCCUGAUGAACAAGCUAUUCCACCCCUACCUCGAUCGCUUCGUGGUAGUGUACCUCGACGACAUCGUCGUGUACAGCAACACUCUGGAGGAGCACGUCGAGCAUCUGCGGACGAUCUUCCAAGUGCUGCGGGAGAACCAACUCUAUGUCAAAAGGGAGAAGUGCUCCUUUGCGAAGGAGGAGGUGCACUUCCUUGGCCACUGGAUCGGCCGAGGACAACUCCAUAUGGACCAGCAGAAAGUGCGGGCGAUCUGCGAGUGGGAAGCGCCCACGACGGUGUCCGAGCUGCGAUCCUUUCUCGGACUCGUCAACUACUAUCGCCGCUUCAUCGCGGGCUACUCUGCUCGAGCGGCCCCUUUGACGGAUCUGCUGAAGAAGACCCAGUCAUGGGACUGGACCCCUCGAUGCGCGGAGGCAUUCGAGGACUUAAAGCGGGCGGUGACGGAGGAUCCGGUGUUGCGGCUUCCCGACUGCAGCCGUCCAUUCGAGGUACAUACUGACGCCUCGGACUUUGCCAUUGGUGGUGUUCUCGUGCAGGACGGACACCCCAUCGCCUAUGAGAGCCGCAAGCUCAACGACACCGAGCGGCGGUACACGGUGCAGGAGAAGGAGAUGACCGCUGUGGUGCACUGCCUCAGGACCUGGCGGCACUAUCUCCUUGGAAGCAAGUUCGUUGUGCGGACGGACAAUGUCGCGACGAGCUACUUCCUUACUCAGAAGAAGCUGUCACCCAAGCAGGCGAGGUGGCAGGACUUCCUGGCGGAGUUCGACAUGGAGCUCUUGUACAAACCCGGGAAGGAGAACCAAGUGGCUGACGCACUCAGCCGCAAGGCGGAACUGGCAGCGGUGUGCCAGAUCCAAGGCGCGAUCAGGGAGCGAAUCCGCGAAGGGACUUGCGAAGACCCUGUGGCCCAAGGACUCGUGCGACUCGUCAAGGAGGGCAAGGCGCAGCGGUUCUGGCUUAGCGAUGGGCUGCUCCUCACCAAGGGGCGUCGCGUCUAUGUGCCCAGGUGGGGCAAUCUUCGUCGCGAGCUCAUGAAGGAGUGUCAUGACUCCAAUUGGGCCGGACAUCCAGGACAGAAGCGGACGAUGGCGCUACUCGAGGCCGCCUACUAUUGGCCUCGCAUGCACGACGACGUGGAGGCGUACGUGCGGACUUGCCUUGUGUGCCAGCAAGACAAGGUGGAGCGCCAAAGUCCUGGGGGCCUCCUCGAGCCCCUGCCUACACCGACGCGUCCGUGGGAGAGCAUUUCCAUGGACUUCAUCUCCGCCUUGCCCAAGGUGGGGACGUUGGGGUCCAUCCUCGUGGUGGUGGACCGAUUCUCCAAGUACGGGACUUUCAUCGCGGCACCAGCGGAUUGCACGGCGGAAGAAGCGGCGCGGCUCUUCGUCAGCAAUGUGGUGAAGCUUUGGGGCAUCCCCGAAAGCAUUGUGAGUGACCGAGACCCUAGGUUUACGGGCAAGUUCUGGACAGAGGUGUUCCGGAUCUUGGGGUCGGAGUUGCUCUUUUCCACCAGUUUUCACCCACAGACGGACGGCCAGACGGAGCGGGUGAAUGCCUUACUGGAGGAGUACCUGCGGCACUAUGUCAGUGCCAACCAGAAGGAUUGGGUGCAUCAUCUGGACGUGGCCCAGUUCUCCUACAACCUGCGGCGGAGCGAGUCAACCAACCUCAGCCCGUUCGAGCUGGCAACGGGGAGGCAACCACUCACUCCGCAUUCUGCUGCUGCGGGCGAGCAGGGCCGCAGCCCAAUGGCUCUCCAAUUCACUUCUCAUUUGCAGGAGAAGGGGGACAUUGCGAGAGCCUAUCUCGAGAAGGCGGCCUGCCGAAUGAAAAAGUGGGCCGAUGCAAAGCGGCGACCCUUGGAGUUUGCCGAGGGAGAUCGAGUGCUGAUCAAGCUGCAACCUCAACAAUUCAAGGCUUUUCGCAAAGUGCACCGUGGGCUUUUGCGAAAGUAUGAGGACCUUUCACUGUCAUCAAGCGAGCGGGCAAGGCAGCCUACAAACUGCAGCUCCCGGCCAACCUGAAAUCCAUCCUGUCUUUCAUGCUAGUUGCCUGCGACCCUACCAUGUAGACGCUGAGGACCCGAGCCGGGGCGUGUCGCAGCGCGCUCCCGCCACUAUGACCACUGCAAUCGACAAGGAGGUCGAAGCCUUGCUGGACACUCGCACCAUUAGGCGUCGCGGAGUCCCGAGGAGCGUCGAGUACCUUGUCAAGUGGAAGAAUCUCCUGCAUGGCGAGAUAAGCUAGGAGAAGGCUGACACUCUCUGGAAGUAUCAGAAGCUGAUCGAUGACUUCCAACACCAGCGCGCAAUAGGUGGGGGAGAUUGUCACGGCACAAAGAUUUUCUCCGCGAUUUCGCUUUGCAAUCACCCAAACUCCAAAGCGGACAUCUGACGGAGGUUUUGGCUUGGAACUUUCUUGAAGCUUCUACGCGGAUCUCGAGACUGAUGGUGCGGAUACCGGAGGGUCAAGAGUCCCUUAGAGUUUCUAGGUAGUCAAUAAAUGUAUGACUCUUCGAGUCUCGAUGCUAUUUAUUAAGACUCUUGGGAGACCGCGUGGCCUCUCCUUUUGGCUAGUAGUAUUGUGCCACUUGGCACCUUUUCAUUGGUAUUGUGGGCGGCGAGUGGCCUAUAUAUAGUGUGGCCUCCACCCCUCUCAUUUCAGAAUCUCAUAUUGUAUUCUCAACCUUAAAGUAAUAGAAGAGCUUUCUUCUUAUAUCUCUCUUGUACUUAGUCUAGGGCGAGUGAGGUCCUAACUUAGCAAGUAGAGAGGCAGGCUUGCUCACUUCGCGGAGGAAGGCGAGCGCCACACGGAUUUUGCGAGCAAAUUCGUUUAGUCCGUGAAAUAGGGCUUGCUUUAAAGCAAACCCUAGAGGUAAGUCUAAACCCUAAACAUGAGAUUUCUAGGGUUUGUAGCUUUUUGUUGGUUUUGAUUGUUCAAAUGGAACCUAAUGAGCUUAGAAAACAUGGAUUUAGCUCAUAAUGAAGCUAGAAACCAUUGCUUCCCAUGGGUGCUAAACCUAAGGCUUGAUUUUGGGAUUUUUGAAAAUAUGAGGGAUUGAUCUCUUUUGAUGGGUUAGAAACCUAAUUUCUAUGCUCCCGAACGCGUAGGCGAAGACGGUUCGUCGAUCCGUCGAGCGAGUGCGGAGAUAUAGCCGAUUUGGGUGCUCUAGGGUUCGUUUUGACCCAAGGUGUUGAAGCGGCGCACGUGAACCGCGAUGCCAAGUUUCUUAGCUCUACAGUACUACCACGAGGUGGGUGGUGAUCAUCCCGAAGCAAUCGGGCUACCUUCUAUGUCUAAGUUUUAAAAGUUGAUCCAAUUGCAUAUUGUGCAUAUUCAUAUAGGGCUAGAGAUGGACUGUUGCUUAUAAUUGCAUGCUAGUAGCUUAAUGUAUCUUGCUUAGUUGGUUCAUGAUCUAGUAUGCAUGAUGAUUAUAUGAUGAAAACUCUAUGAUAAAGACCUAGACCCUAUGUGAGAUGAUUAAUACUUAUGUUGCUAAAGAACUAGUAUGAUGUAACUAGUGUUGAUGAUGAGUCUAAAUGACGAGUGGCAUCUAGUUAGAAAACUAUGAUGAGUGGCAUAUGAUUGUUGAUGACCUUGAUAUGAGAACAUUAGUGUAGUUGAGACACUAUGAGAUUGGGUACAAGUAUACCUUGAUUCCAUCAUGAGAUUACCCUUAGAGGGUAGGUUGCUGCUGUUCGUGAGUUGAUCGUGCUCACAUAGCCUGUCUGCGCUUGGAGGGGUCGCUCCCCACAAGCUGUGCACUCCGGAGGUUGGUCACUAGAGAGACAGUCAGUGUGCUGUCUGGACGGUCAGUGUGCUGUCCGCAGGCGGUCUCGGGGAGUAGUUCAGUGAGACUUUCCCUAUGAGAUUUACACGUGAGUUAUGCUUGUGAACCACGAGUUCACCUCGAGAUUUGGUUACCUAUUGAGUCAUGCUCAUUAUUAUUGCUCAUGAUAGCUAGCUUUCAUAGUUGUUGUUGUUGUUCAUAGUUGCUUACUUACCCAGCUUUACUUAUUGUUCAUGCAUCCAUGAUAUCAGAUUGAGGCAUAGCUUGAUAGACCUGUUUUACAUACCCGCUUUCAGUUCAGUUUAGCUUUAUAUAUACUGCAUAUAUAUAUCUCUCUAUGCCUGCUUAAGACCUAGUGGGUAGAUCGGCGGAGUCGGCGGCCGAACCCACUGGGAACUAUUCGUAGUUCUCACACCCCACGUUGCAGGUGCUAGUUCGAGCGUCCCGACCGAGCGGGAGGAUCGCGACAAGGGCUUGGCGCCCUAGCGGUAUCAGUUGAUAGCUUACUCUCCUACUUGCACUAAUUCGCCCUGCUUUUACAUUUUGAGAGUAGAUGUUGUAUAGGGUGAGAUUUUGGAGAGCAUAUGAUGUAUUUACAUUUUGGAAAAGAAUGCAAGUUGUAUUAAAUGAUUAAAAUUUUAAUGAUAUCGAAAUAGGUUAAAUGUCUCAAAUAGUUAAGUUUCUCUCUUUUGAAUACUUGUAUACCGUUUACUUGUAUCGCUUGCUCUUGUUGAUAAAUAGCACUGUUUGUGCUCUCGAUUAUCGUUGUUUGAUUGUGUAUGAAUUCAAGUUGUAU